RNAcentral lists this ribosomal RNA (200 nucleotides) under uncultured bacterium. RNAcentral's name for it is "partial 16S ribosomal RNA". It matches the Rfam family "Bacterial small subunit ribosomal RNA", at positions 8 to 216 of the family's 1533-position model. The record is from RNAcentral.
AGAGUUUGAUCCUGGCUCAGGACGAACGCUGGCGGCGUGCCUAAUACAUGCAAGUCGAGCGGGAUCCUUCGGGGUUCAGCGGCGGACGGGUGAGUAACACGUAGGCAACCUGCCUGUAAGACUGGGAUAACUGCCGGAAACGGCAGCUAAGACCGGAUAAUUUACCCUGGGGCAUCCCGGAGUAUGGAAAUGCGGGGCAA